GCAAAGGACUGAAAAUCCUCAUGUUAGCGGUUCCAAUCUGG
RNAcentral lists this transfer RNA (41 nucleotides) under Solanum betaceum (tamarillo). RNAcentral describes it as "tRNA-Phe". Lineage: Eukaryota; Viridiplantae; Streptophyta; Magnoliopsida; Solanales; Solanaceae. The record is from RNAcentral.